This 204-nucleotide long non-coding RNA is filed under the name Elaeis guineensis (African oil palm). RNAcentral's name for it is "long non-coding RNA (EGUI_LNC058805)". The record is from RNAcentral. Lineage: Eukaryota; Viridiplantae; Streptophyta; Magnoliopsida; Arecales; Arecaceae.
CCCAUAGAUUCGAACCUCAGUCGGUAGCACAAGAACAAUUCUUGUACUAAUUGAUGUAACAUCUAGCAAUGGGAUCCGACAUCCGGAUAGGCCGAAUGUAUGCCUUGCAACACUCUAAAAUUCAUGUGGAUAUAGUUACUGUAUAAUUCAUCUCUUUGACACUUGAUGCUCAAGGACGACUAAGGGUAAACUGUCAACCCAGAA